This 490-nucleotide ribosomal RNA is filed under the name uncultured bacterium. Its description in RNAcentral is "partial 16S ribosomal RNA". It matches the Rfam family "Bacterial small subunit ribosomal RNA", at positions 30 to 507 of the family's 1533-position model. The record is from RNAcentral.
AUUGAACGCUGGCGGCAGGCCUAACACAUGCCAGUCGAACGGUAACAGGAAACAGCUUGCUGUUUCGCUGACGAGUGGCGGACGGGUGAGUAAUGUCUGGGAAACUGCCUGAUGGAGGGGGAUAACUACUGGAAACGGUAGCUAAUACCGCAUAACGUCGCAAGACCAAAGAGGGGGACCCUCGGGCCUCUUGCCAUCGGAUGUGCCCAGAUGGGAUUAGCUUGUUGGUGGGGUAACGGCUCGCCAAGGCGACGAUCCCUAGCUGGUCUGAGAGGAUGACCAGCCACACUGGAACUGAGACACGGUCCAGACUCCUACGGGAGGCAGCAGUGGGGAAUAUUGCACAAUGGGCGCAAGCCUGAUGCAGCCAUGCCGCGUGUAUGAAGAAGGCCUUCGGGUUGUAAGGUACUUUCAGCGGGGAGGAAGGGAGUAAAGUUAAUACCUUUGCUCAUUGACGUUACCCGCAGAAGAAGCACCGGCUAACUCCGUG